Molecule: transfer RNA, 85 nt
Filed under: Felis catus (domestic cat)
Lineage: Eukaryota; Metazoa; Chordata; Mammalia; Carnivora; Felidae
Rfam family: tRNA
About the family: Transfer RNA (tRNA) molecules are approximately 80 nucleotides in length.
Source: Rfam by way of RNAcentral
GCCUGGGUGGCUCAGUCAGUUGAGCAUCUGACUUUGGCUCAGGUCAUGAUCUCGCGGUGUGUGAGUUUGAGCCCCGCGUCAGGCG